RNAcentral lists this long non-coding RNA (284 nucleotides) under Fukomys damarensis (Damara mole-rat). Its description in RNAcentral is "lncRNA (ENSFDAG00000032515.1)". The record is from RNAcentral. Lineage: Eukaryota; Metazoa; Chordata; Mammalia; Rodentia; Bathyergidae.
AUCCUACUGAGUGGCCUGCAAGUCAAGUCUCUUUCAGACAUCACCUCUCUACUUCAACCGACUAGCCUGCUGGCCCCACUUGCCUAGGACGGAUGAGAAGGACCACUGUGAUGUCACCUGUGUGUGCCCAGUGUUUCAGCCUCGCUCCCUCAUGAUAACUCCUUGUGGAAGGUGGGGCCACCAUCCACGCAGAGUGACAGCCUGAGCCCAGCCGGAAGCACCUCCCGGACAACUCAUCGUCACAUGGGACAGCGGGCCCCACACUGCUCCCCCUCCCUCCGACA